RNAcentral lists this long non-coding RNA (27494 nucleotides) under Gossypium barbadense (sea-island cotton). RNAcentral describes it as "long non-coding RNA (GBAR_LNC009755)". The record is from RNAcentral. Lineage: Eukaryota; Viridiplantae; Streptophyta; Magnoliopsida; Malvales; Malvaceae.
UUGGGUUUAUAUAUCUCAACAAUGUAAGCCUAGAGAAGUUUUGCUUAGUGUCUUGAUGAAAGUUCUCUCUCCUUCUAAAGAUGAAAGAGAGUUAAUUGAGAAACUGGACGAGAAUGAGAUGUGGAAAAGGCUUUUUGAUGCUUUGAAAGAAAAGCGGUACUUGGUAGUCCUCGAUGAUAUCUGGCGAAGCGAGGAUUGGGAUAUUCUUAAACCUGCUUUUCCACGAGGAAGAAAGGGAAGCAAAAUAUUAUUCACAACACGCAACAGGAAUGUGGCUUUAAAUGCCGAUCCUUGCAACACUCCCAUGGAGCUCUCACUUCUUACAGAUGAUGAAAGUUGUAAUCUUUUGUGUAGGAAAGCAUUCCCACGGAGCAAAAUGGGUUCUCAAUGCUACUCAGAAGAAUUUGAGAAGCUUGGAAAGGAGAUGGUGAAAAAAUGUGGAGGUCUGCCUUUAGCAAUUGUUGUGUUGGGAUGCUUGCUAGCAACAAAACAGUCCUUGGCUCAAUGGGAGAUGGUUCACAAAAACAUCCAUGGACACCUAAAAGGGCUCCCACACCAAGAUCAUCAAUAUGGUGCAGUGAACAGGAUUUUGGUUUUAAGCUACAAUGAUUUGCCUUAUCAUUUAAAACCAUGCUUUCUGUAUCUUGGUCAUUAUCCGGAAGAUUGGGAGAUAUCGAAAAGUGAACUCAUUCAACUAUGGAUCGCUGAAGGAUUCAUUUCACCAUCAUUAGAAAGCAAAGAAAUCUUGAUGGAGGAUGUAGGCGAAUAAUUCCUAGAAGAGCUUAUAAAUAGGAGCUUGGUUCAAGUUUGGAGGCGAGACUAUACAGGGACAAAAGUGAAAACAUGUCGAAUACAUGAUCUCUUGAGGGACUUGUGCACGAAGAAAGCAAAAGAGGAGAAGUUCUUGGAAAUUAUUCAACAAUCAUCGGCUGAAUUUGAUGUGACACUGGCAAAACCUUUGCUACGAAGAAUUUCUAUUCAUCCUAGUGAAAGGAAAGUUCAUUUGAAGGGAGAGCACCCAAAAUUACGUUCUUUGUUGUUGCCUCAAGACGUUGAAUUGAUAGAAUUCUUCAUUUCAAAAUGCAAAAGCUUCAAAUUUUUAAGGGUGUUGACUCUUCUAAGAAGGAAUGUCAUAAAGUGGCAUGUGUCAGUUGAAAUUGGUAAUCUCCAACAUUUGAGAUACUUGAAGUUAGGAUGCUAUGGAGAAAUGAUUUUGCCGCAAUCUAUUGGCAGGUUGAAGAGUUUAUACACUUUAUACAUCAGGUAUGAAACUCACAUUGUAAUUCCAUAUGUUGUGUUCAAGUUCGAGCGUUUAAGGCAUAUUAUAUUAAAAAGGACUAGGUGGUGCGAAAGAGGAUUUCGUUGGCGGCUAGGGUUCACUUCAAAAAAUAUUGAAACUUUGAAGUACAUAGAGGUGGAUGAGAGGCUGAUUGAAAAUAAUGUGGUGCUUAGGUUGACUAAUAUUCAGAGUCUAGGAUUAGUAUUUACAAGAUCAGAAUAUGUGAAGCCUAUCCUAAUCUUGCUAACCAAAUUGCAACGCCUUCGGUCAUUGUCCUUUGAUAUUUUAGACAAUUCAAUCUUAUCAUAUCUAGACUUAGAACCCCUUUCUCAGUGCCAUCACCUCUCCAAACUGAGAUUAAUGGGGGCGAUAGAAGGAGUUCCAAAUUCGAGCCAUCGUGUUUUGGAAUUUCUUCCACCAAAUAUCGUCAAACUAACUUUGGAUUCCUGUAAUAUGAGCCAGGAUCCAAUGGGCGUAUUGGAAAAGCUAUGUCAUUUAAGGAUUUUCUAUUUGUCUAAAGCAUAUAAUGGGAGAAAAAUGAUUUGCUCUGCGAAUGGGUUUCCUCAACUUGAUUUUCUUCAGAUAGUGAAUCUAAUAAAGUUGGAAGAGUGGGAAAUAGAAGAAGGCGCAAUGCCAUGUCUUCGAAGAUUGGAAUUAGUUAACGUUAGUUUAGGCAUGUUUCCAGAAGGAUUAAGGUAUAUUACUACUCUCCAAGAAAUGUCAUUAGUAGGAUUGAGUUCAUCAUUGGAAGAAAGGAUUAAAGUGAUAGAUGAAAGAGAAGGAGAGGAUUUUUAUAAAGUGCGCCACAUUCCCUCCAUCGACUUUGUAAAGUUACUGGAUUCAACAUCACUUGAGGUAUUUAUUUAUGUAAAAUAAUAAUCUUUUCAUUCUUUUUUUUUUCUUUCACCCAUAUAGUUAGAUAUUGAUAUAAAUUUAGUAAAACAACAGAAAACAAAAAUACACAUCUUUAAUUAACAUAAAAAUUGUAAUUAAAAUAUAAAAAAAUAAGGAUUUUGAAUAUUUUUCUAGAAAAACUAAAAUUUUAAUAUCAUUUACCAUAAUUUUCAAUUCAUAUUUUUAAUUAGUAUACAUAAGAGAUGAUGAUAUGUUUAUACCAUUUUCUUGUUGAUGCAGGUAAUUACACUUCAUUGAGAUAUUCAACCCCAUCAAGUGUGUGUUUUUAAAUUGGAUUGCUAAAUAAUAUGAACUUGAAUAAAGUGAUGUUUAUCAAUAACUUGAUUAGAGUAUAGAUUUUCAUUAAUGAAGAAUGAUUAAUUACACCUAACGUUUUCUUUCUUACAAAAAGAAAAAAAUAAAAGCGAGUUUUAUUAUUAUUAUUAUUUGGAAUAAGUUAUUUUAUAAUUGCUAUGAAUGAUAUGAAAAUAAAUUUGAUUUAUUAUAUAUUUUUAAUCUCUAUAAAUAUAAAUUUUCUUUUGCUCUCAUUCCUUAUUUGCUUUUACUCUUCUAUUAUUAUUAUUAUUAAUUACUGUCCUUAUUAUUUAUUUCAUAACUAUAAUUUGUUUAUAACAUUUUUAAUCCUGAUUAUAAGUUGGAUUUAUUGAAUUUUCUGUUUUUAAUUUCUUGUUAUUAUUCUUAAUUUUAUUAAUAACAAAAAAUCUUUCCCCAAAUUUCCUAUUUCACUAAACACGUGUUUCUCCACUAAUAUAUGUUAUUCCCGAAAACAGCUCUUCGAAACUUCUGAUAAAGAGAAAUACUUCUCCACUUAAAAUAUUCUACUAAUACUUGCCGAUCUGUUUGGUGGAAUCUGUUCUGAACAAGCAGGAGAAAUGGCAGAGGCUAUUGUGUCCUUAGCUGUUGAAAGAAUUUCUGAUUUACUCAUCCAUGAAGCUGUUUUCCUCAAAGAUGUGAAAGAUCAAGUUGAGAGCCUAAACGCUGAACUUAAGCGAAUGCAGUGUUUCUUGAAGGACGCGGAUCGCAAGCUUGAACAAGAUGCGCGUUUCCAGAAUCGGGUGUCGGAAAUUAGAGAUCUUGCUUAUGAUGCUGAAGAUGCUAUCGACUCCUUCAUCCUUGAACGUGCACAUCAAGGAGGCUUUCAAGGAAUCGUCAAGAGAUUCACCUCCAUUUGCACCAAACCUUCGCAUCUGCACAAAAUAGGGGUGCAGGUCAAAGCAAUCCAGACCAAGCUCCAAAACAUUUCCAAGAACCUUCCAGCUUAUGAGAUAUCCCGUGAUGGAGAAGGCUCUAGCUCAAUUUUGCAGCAACGGGUAAGAAGGACAUACUCACAUGUCGAGGAAGAGGAUGUUGUUAGCUUGGAGGUUAGCACGAAGGAUGUCAUGACGAAGUUGAUGACUGAAGAAGAUAGACUCCAUGCCGUCGUUUCGAUAGUCGGCAUGGGGGGCAUUGGUAAGACUACUCUUGCCAGAAAAGUAUAUAAUCAUGUUGAUGUGAGACGCCAUUUUGGUUACAUGGCUUGGGUUUAUAUAUCUCAACAAUGUAAGCCGAGAGAAGUUUUGCUUACUGUCUUGAUGAAAAUUCUCUCUCCUUCUAAAGAUGAAAGAGAGCUAUUUGAGAAACUGGAAGGGAGUGAGCUGAUGAAAAGGCUUUUUGACGCUUUGAAAGAAAAGCGGUAUUUGAUUGUCCUCGAUGAUAUUUGGGGAAACGAUGAUUGGGAUAUUCUUAAACCCGCUUUUCCACGAGGAGGAAAGGGAAGCAAAAUAUUGAUCACAACACGCAACAGGAAUGUGGCUUUAUACGCCGAUCCUUGCAACACUCCCAUGGAGCUCUCAUUUCUUGCAGAUGAUGAAAGUUGGAAUCUUUUGUGUAGGAAAGCAUUCCCACGGAGCAAAAUGGGUUCUCAAUGCUGCUCACAAGAAUUUGAGAAAUUCGGAAGAGAGAUGGUGAAAAAAUGUGGAGGUCUACCUUUAGCAAUUGUUGUCUUGGGAAGCUUGCUAGCAAGAAAACAAUCAGUGGAUCAAUGGGAGACGGUUCACAAAAACCUUUUCCAUGGACACUUAAAAGGGCUCCAACAACAUGAUCAUCAAUAUGGUGCGGUGAACAGGAUUUUGGUUUUAAGCUACAAUGAUUUGCCUUAUCAUUUAAAACCAUGCUUUCUGUAUCUUGCUCAUUAUCCAGAAGAUUGGGAAAUAUCAAAAAAGAACUCAUUCAAUUGUGGAUCGCUGAAGGUUUCAUUUCACCAUUAUUGGAAAGCGAAGAAAUCUUGAUGGAGGAUGUAGGCGAAGAAGAGCUUAUAGAUAGAAGUUUGGUUCAAGUUUGGAGGCGAGACUUUACAGGGACAAAAGUGAAAACAUGUCGAAUACAUGAUCUCUUCAGAGACUUGUGCAUGGAGAAAGCAGAAGAGGAGAAUUUCUUAAAAUUUAUUCAAAAAUCUGAAAAUUCUCUUGAUGUGACCUUGGUAGCAUCUAUGCCACGAAGAAUUGCUAUACAUCCUGGCGAAAGGGGCUUCUAUUUAAAAGGAAAGCAUCCAAAAUUACGUUCUUUGUUGCUGAUGAAUCAAGAAAAGGUAUUGAUAAAUGUCCAUAUUUCAAAUUUCAAUAACUUUAAACUUUUAAGAGUGUUGAAACUUACUAGAUGGGUUGAGGAGUGGCAUGUGUCAAGUGAAAUUGGUAAUCUCCAUCAUUUGAUGUAUUUGAGGUUACGAUGCAUAAUGAAAAUAAUCUUGCCAAGGGCUAUUGGAAAGUUGAAGAAUUUACACACUUUGUACCUCCGAUGCCUUUUUCACUUUGUAGUUCCAAAUGUUGUAUUCCAGUUGGAACGCUUAAGGCAAUUUGUAACGAAAGGGGAUGAGUAUCCUGAGAUCGAAAGAUAUUUUCAUUGGUCGCGAAACUUUUCUUCAAAAAAUAUUGAAACUUUGAAGUACAUGUGGGUGGACAAGAAGUUGAUUGAAAAUAAUGAGGUGCUUAGGUUGACUCAUAUUCAGUGUUUUGGAAUAAUAUUUAAGAAAUCAAAAGAUGUUAAGCCUAUCUUACUAUUGGCAAUAUUGGAUUGUCUUAAGUCAUUGUCCAUGACUUUGUGUAAAAUUUUCUAUAGAAAUCAAGCUCAUUUACAUAUCUAGAUUAGGAACCUCUUUUACAGUGUUGUCGCCUCUCCAAAUUGAAGUUAAGUGGUCCCAUAAAGGAAUAUCCACAUCAGAGCCAUCAUGCUUUGAAAUUUCUUCCACCAAGUAUUGUCAAGUUAACUUUGCAGUUCUCUCAUAUGACUAAUGAUCUGACGGGUGUGUUGGGAAAGCUGCCAUGUUUGAGAAUUCUUAAUUUACAAUAUUUGGGGAGAAAAAUGAUUUGGUCUGUCAAUGGUUUCCUCAACUUGAUUUCUUAAAAUGCAUCCUUUAUUUAAAUUGAAGGAGUGGGAAAUAGAAAAAAGCACAAUGCCAUGCCUUUCGAAGAUUAGAGUUUGGCCAAUAUUGAAAGGUUAGGGAUGCUUCUAGAAAAAUUGAUGUAUAUUACUACUUUUCAAGAACUGUUAAUAGUAGGAGUGAAUUUACCAUUUAAAAAUAGGAUUAAAGGGAUAGAUGGAAGAGAAGGAGAAAAUUUCUAUAAAGUGCACCAUAUUCCCUCCAUCCAAGUAUUUACACGCCUUUGCCCGUGAGGUAUUUAUUUCUGUAAAAUAAUAAUCUUUCCAUUCUUUUUAUUUUUCUUUCACCCAUAUAAUUAGAGAUUGAUAUAAAAUUGGUAAAAUAACAUAAAAGAUACCAUUUUAUCAUUAAAAUAUAAAAAAUAUUAUUUCAUAAAAAUUAACAUAAAAAUUAUUAUUAAAAUAUAAAAAAUAAGGAUUUCAAAUAUUUUUCUAAAAAACUAAAAUUUUAAUAUUAUUUUAUUAAUUCAUAAUUUUUAUUUCAUAUUUUUAAUUAGUAUACAUAAGAGAUGAUAAUAUGUAUAUACUAUUUUCUUCUUGAUGCAGGUAUGGCCGAACUCCAUCAAGUGUGUGUUUUUAAAAUUGGAUUGCUAUAUAAUAUGAAUGAAGUGAUUGUUGAUUAUUAAUUUGAUUAGAAUAUAGAUUUUCAUUGAUGAAGAAUGAUUAAUUAUCCAUUUUUUUUCUUCUAAAUUCAAUAAAUUUCUAUGUUUUUUUCUUAUAUUUCGAGACAUUAGUUCUCUUGUUUACAAUAUUAGUUUUGAGGGUUUUUUACCCUAAUAUUAUAAAAAAAAAAUUUAUACACCAAAAUGAAUUGUCAGCCAGAUUAAUUACGAAAAUGGUAUAUUUUUUGGGGUCGUGCUUACCUGACAGGCACAGUCCAUUAUUUUAUUAUUAAUUUUCUUUUUUUGUUUUAAAAAUUAUUAUUAUAUUAUAUUAUUUUUAAUAUUUAUAUUAAUAUAUAGAUAAAAAUACGGGUUUUACACGGAUAAAAAAUACCCGAAACAGGUCGAGCCUGUCAGGUAGGCACGACUAGUCGUGCCUGACAGGUAGGCACAACACCCUGAACAUUUCCCUUUUCUUUCUUUGCAUUUUACAAAAAAUUGGUCUUAUAUCACUUUUGGUCCCUCUACUAGGCCUAAAAUUAAAAUUCAAUCUUUAUACUUGAAUUUCUACAAUAAUAUUUGGUUCUAUUUUUUAUAAUUUUUUUUCCAAAUAAUUAAUAUUGUUAAUUACUCUGAUAAAAUUUUUGACUUGUUUUUUUAAACAAAAAAUUAGUUUAACAAAACAAUGAUAUGUUAAGUUAGAAUAAUUUUUAAAUAAUAAAAUUUCUAACAAAAUUGUAUUAAAAUUUUUGUUAAUUACUCUAUAAAAUUUUUGAUUAGUUUAACAAAACAAUGUUAUGUUAAGUUGGAAUAAGUUUUAAAUAAUAAAAUUUCUAACAAAAUUGUAUUAAAAUUUUUGUUAAUUACUCUGAUAAAAUUUUUGACGUGUUUUUUUAAACAAAAUAUUAGUUUAACAAAACAAUGAUAUGUUAAGUUGGAAUACAUUUUUGUUAGAAAUUUUAUUAUUUAAAACUUAUUACAGCUUAACAUAUCAUUGUUUUGUUAAACUAAUAUUUUGUUUAAAAAAACACAUUAAAAACUUUAACAGAGUAAUUAACAAUAUUAAUUAUUUGGAAAAAAAUUAUAAAAAAUAGGACCAAAUAUUAUUGUAGAAAUUCAAGUAUAAAGAUUGAAUUUUAAUUUUAGGCCUAGUAGAGGGACCAAAAGUGAUAUAAGACCAAUUUUUUGUAAAAUGCAAAGAAAGAAAAGGGAAAUGUGCAGGGUGUUAUGCCUGCCUGACAGGAUCGACCCGUUUCGGGUAUUUUUUAUCCGUAUAAAACCCAUAUUUUUAUCCAUAUAUUAAUAUAAAUAUUAAAAAUAAUAUAAUAAUAAUUUUUUAAAACAAAAAAAAUUAAUAAUAAAAUAAUAGGUUGUGCCUGUCAGGUAGGCACGACCCCAAAAAGUAUACCAUUUUCGUAAUUAAUCUAGCUGACAAUCCAUUUUGGUGUAUAUAUAUAUUUUUUAUAAUAUUAGGGUAAAAAACCCUAGUUUUGAGAUCAAUUCAAUAUUUUCUUCCAUUGUCUUUUAGCACUGCUUCUGCCUUCUCUAUUUAAAUUAAAAAUUAGAUGAUACAAUGUGAAUGAAAACGUAUAUACUUUUAUAUGAUAUAACAAAAAAUAUUUAAGAUUUCUUAUAACAAAAAUUACUUAUUAUUAAUACCCUUUUUCAUUUAAUAAUGAAUAAAACAGAUUUCUAUUCUCUUGACUUAUAUAGAACAAUGAUUAAAUUUUUUAUUAGAUACCUAUUUGACACGAGUUCAAACUAUAUGACACCCAUUCUCACCCUAAUAUUGUAUAAAAAAAAGUCAAACAUUAAUUAUUGUAUAACUUUUAACCGUUUAAUCAAUGAUAUUAAUCAUUUCAUAAAUUUUUUUUAAUAAAAAACAUGAUAAAGUAUUAUAUAUUUUUUAAUCAUUUACUAUUUACUAAGAGCAAAUCAAUCAUUAAAUAUCUGAGUCUAUAAUUAUUUCAACUUCUACCUUGAACCAAACAUAGUAUUGUAACAUGUUUAAUAAUGUACUACUUGUCCGGUAACAAUAUUACCGAAGGUAAUCAAUCAUUUUAUGAACUAACACCCCCAAUCUAAAUUCACAAAAGUUUGUGUGUUUGAGAAAGUUGAAUUCACAUAAUUUGUUCUUCCUAUAAACAAUAAGAAGAAAGUAGCGACUCAACUUUCUAUUGAAGACUUGUUUUAAUAGGGUUACACAAAUCAAAAUAUAGUAAAUUCAGGGAACUCUAUGUAGUAAAUUCAACUUUCUAUUGAAGACUGUUGGUGAUGAGGUCCUAAUCUAUCUUACUAGUGCUCGUACCAGUUAUGAUGUAUGGGUAGCCAUUGAAAAUAAGUUUGCAACUAAAUCUACUAUUAAACUCUUUAGUAUUCGACAUGCGUUGUAUUCUCAGAAGAAGGGCCACUUAUCUGUUAAAGAAUAUUUGGCCAAGAUCAAGUCGAUGAGUGAUAUGUUGAUUAUGGCAGGGAGUUCAAUUUCUGAACAAGAAUAGGUUAGUAUAGUUCUUGCGGGCCUUUCGGUCGAAUAUGAGUCUAUGCGGGUAGUAGCUUCAGCUACUUGUGUGUCCCUUGAUCUUUUGACAAAACUACAUUUUGAUUGCGAAGAAAUACAACUUAAGUUCUUGACUAGUAUUCCAAUAUAGGCAAACUUGGCUAGAAAACAAGUUUAUAAAAGUGGUGAUCAGGAAAAAAAGGGUCUGACAGAGAUUAUUAACGGAGUAAACAAUCGUAUAGAGGUGGUUUUCAACAAAGUAAAGGUUUCCAUUGUGGUAGAGGACGUGGGGGCUGGUUUUCACAUAAUCGACCCCAAUUCCAGUUAUGUGGUAAAGUUGGACAUGUUGUUCAAAAGUGUUAUUACCGAUUUGAUGAGAAUUUUGCAGGUAUCUCUAAUGACGAUAGGUCGAUAACAGUAAAUCAUCAUCAUCUUUUCGAUCCAAGGCAGACCGCAUCUAACUAUGGGGUGCAUCAUUGUUGCAAUAAAUUUCCUAGCUUUUAAGGAGGUAGUGGUCAACCAUCGAGAUCUUAAACCAGCUGUGAUGACCAGAUGUGGUACCCCGACUUCAGAGCCACAAAUCAUGUUACCAAAGAUCUCUCUUCACUUAGUCAUCAUACUGAGUAUACAGGUACGAGUCAACUCUUGAUGGGCAAUGGGACUCCUAUCCCUAUCACUUAUGUAAGGACCUCUCGAUUACCACUAGUAAUAGACUUUUAUACUUUAACCGUGUUUUACCAUGUUCCGAAUGUAUGCAAAAACUUGAUUUCUGUAGCUCAAUUCGCAAAAGAUAAUCGGGUGUUGACGGUCACUAAACUAACUAUAAAUACCACAAAGGCAAGCGUAGCUAUCGAACAAUAGUAUAUCUAUGGCGAGUAAGGAAUCUCAUAUCCACGAGGACUAAAAAUACUAGUAAUUGCUGAUAUCUUAUUAUUUUGCCGACAAAUUGGAGUGAUUGUGUUUUUAUCUAAAAUUACUAAACUAAUUUAACUAAGAACACAACAGAGAAUGAAUCAAAGAAAUAAUUGAAUAUUAACCAAUGAGAUAGACAAUACCCAGGAAAUAAUCCACCUAGACUUCACCCAUUAUUAUGAAUCUGAAUUAAAUGAUUUAUUCACUUGUGACUUGAUCCGUAGAAAUCUCUAAAUUAUGCUAAUAUCUCUUUCGAGAGUAAGAACAACUGACUCUAGGUUGAUUAAUUGAAAUCUCUUUCUAAUUAAAACCCUUAUCGUUGCAUUAACUCGAUCUAUAGAUUCCCUUAUUAGAUUUGACUCUAAUCUGGUAGAUUUAUGUCGUCUUAUUUCUAGGAUUACAUACAACUCCACUCAAUUAUUCUAGAUCUACUCUUAAACAUGGACUUUUGCUCCACUAGAUUAAUCACAUUAAAGAUGAAUUAAUAUCUCGAAAAUAUUAAAACAAGAAAUUAGCACACAUAAUUGAGAACAGGAAUCAAGUAUUUAUCAUGUAAAUCAUAAAUCAAAUAAUAAGAUUCAUCAUAGGUUUCAUCUUCCCUAGGUAUCUAGGUAAUCAAAUAAUAGAAACAUCUCAAAGUCAGAAUAACCACAAGACAUAAAGCAACUCAAAAAAACUUCGAAAAAAAUUAAAGAGAGAUCUUCGAUCUUGAUAUAGAUCUGUUUCCGAGUUGAUUCCAAUGGCAUUCUUCAAGUGUUUUCUUCGAUCUUCUUUAAUGGCCUCUUUAUGUCUUCUUCUAAUGGGUAUUUAUAAACUUUAGAAUGCUCAGAAAACCUAAAAAUUGGGUUUUCCACGUAUUAAGAAAGUAGGGUGCAAAAUCGACACGAGUUGGCACAUGGGCGUAUGUCCAGCCCGUAUAGAUCAUGAAAAUAGCUCUUUUUGUCUGAUUUUGUCUCGUUUUUUGCUCAUUUCAUUUCCAAAUGCUCUCCUAAGUAUAGAAUCAUGAAUUUAAAGGAUUAAGAGCGUCAAACUCACUAAUUUGCAUAAUUACUCAUCAAAAAACGCAUUAAGAAUGUGAUUAAAAUAUAUUGCUUUUAUAGCUUAUCAAAUAUCACCACACUUAGGCGUUUGCUUGUCCUCAAGCAAAAUCCUUAACUCUCAUUAAAAUUAAUAUUUCUCAAUUUAUAAUUUUCAUCAAUAAUGUCUCAAAAUAAUUCACAAAUAAUCAUGUAUUGGCGAUUCAACUAAAAGGGCAAUAAAGGUCCAAACAAUCAAAGUUAAAAAAUUUUAAAGCACAAAAACAUAGGUAUUUCCCCUUAUCUAAGUAAUUACCUUUAAUUCAAAAUCAACAAGAGUCGACAUCCUCACUAAAGAUUCACUUAAAUCACUCAAAGUGUUUAAGGUUCAAGGAUAAGCACUCAAAAGUCAAACAAGAAAGGUCAUUACCAUAUGCUUGCAUGAAAAUCAAAUCUCCACCACUAUAAAAUGAUAUGAUACACAAAUCAAAAGGUUUUUAAGAGGAUGUAAUGGGGCUUAGGUUGAGGGUGUGGAGAAAGGCACAAAUACUUCAUUAGUAAUAUCCUUCCUGAUCAACCUAUCAAACCAUCUAUUUGCAAUGUUAACAAACUCUUAUGAUUGUUGCGUGUAAAAAAAAACACAAAUAGCAAGAGAAUAUAAAUUGAACUGCCUUCGCUUUUCAUCUUGAACAUCAAGCCCUAGUUUCUACAACCAAAACACAAACACCUUGUCUACAAUAACAUAUUUUCCAACAAACUACUAAGAAGUUUUAGAAUUAUAAAACUUGCACUUCCUUAAGUACCUUAACUAUCAUUAAAGCAUCGAAAACAUAUUGUUCGAAGGAAGACGCUCUAAACAUCCAUGUCGCAAAAGAAAUUAAAAUAAACAAAGAUGUUAGCUUUUAGUAUUAUACCAUUUGAUUUGAAAUGUGUGUUUGUUGCGUGUAAAAAAAAACCCACAAAUAGCAAGAGAAUAUAAUUGAACUGCCUUCCCUUUUCAUCUUGAACAUCAAGCCCUAGUCUCUACAACCAACACACAAACACCUUGUUUACAAUAACAUAUUUUCCAACAAACUACUAAGAAGUUUUAGAAUUAUAAAACUUGCACUUCCUUAAGUACCUUAACUCUCAUUUAAACAUUGAAAACAUAUUGUUCGAUAGAAGACCUUCUAAACAUCUACGUCGUAAAAGAAAUUAAAAUAAACAAAGAUGUUAGCUUUUAGUAUUAUACCAUUUGAUUUGAAAUGUUUAAAAAUAUUUUUUAAUAAAUAUAUGUUUGUAGGUUGCAUUGCACCUAGGGAUACAUUUGAUUUGAGGGGUUGAGAGGGAAGUGAGGUCUAUGCCUUAACGGACGGUGCGACGAGCCUCGUGCUUCUUCUGGUUGUGGCUCUUUUUUACAUCGUGUUUCAAGUCGUCACUGAUUUCAUUUUCUUGGAGAUCAGAUGGAGAUGGGGCAUGGGGUAAUUUGGUUUCGCGUAGGCGAGAGGAAGUUUUUGACGGAGGAACAAAGAAAUAAAAAAGAUUGUAGAACCAUGCCCAUAAAAAGAAAAAAAGAAGAUAAGAAUAUAAAAGAAAAAUGGAAAGUGAGGGAAAAUAAAAAAGAAAAGAAAAGAAGGCAUAAUAAGAUGCCACAUGGCAGCAUACGAUUGGCUAGCGCUGCCACAUCAGCAAAAAAUUAAUGCUAUCAGUCUCACGUACUAAUUUGAGACAAAAGAAACCAUAAAUAUCAAUUUGGGAGAAGUGGAUAAGUUUGAGUAAUAAUUUUAUAUUUAACCUUUUUUUCAUACAAAUUUUUUGGGUGAAAGAGUAGAAUUAAAAACAAAUUACAAAAACUAGACCAUCCCCUCUAACGGAGAGGUCUUAAACAGACAUAACCAAUAAUCUCUAUGUUGGACCAAUUUGAUCAAAUGGUCAGCUUCCUGAUUUUCCUCUCUAAAAAUGUGUCUAAUGUCCCAUUGUUUAAACUGCGACAGUAUGUGAUGAAUUCUUCAAACCAAAGCAGAGUUGGACCCUUUAGUAGAUCCCUUCUAAAUAUCUAUAACCGCUUCAAAACAGUUAGAUUGAAUCACUACACUAUCAUAUCCUCGCUUCACAAUCAAAGACAGACCUUCCAUAAUACCCCACGACUCACCAAACAGUUCCCCAAAUAUUUAUUGUAUCCAACAAUCCAAAUUCUACCUCGAUCACAUAUUAUUCUCCCUACUGCCGUGAAUCCAGCUUCCUUCAGAAUGGAACCAUCUGUACUCAAAAGGACAUAGUUAUUAUUUAAAAAUAGAGACAGGAACUUACCUUGUGAGUCAUUUGUUUUGCCCCUUUUAGUAGAAACGUAUUGCUUUGCCUAGCUAUACGGCACCUUGAUAGUUUUACUAUCAUUUUAUGAAGUACCUUGAAAAAUUAAGAAAUCCACAAGCGCCAAAUGAUGAUCCCAAAUAGACAUUGCCAGUCAACAUCUCCCAAACACCAAUUAUGCUGAUUUUGCAAAUUUAGAACAAGCAACUCAUGUAGAUUUCCUACGUAAAAUCUAGGAAACUAUUCCAUCGGAAUUAAGUGGUCCCAAACAUUCCUCGCAGCCUUGCAAUCUCUAAUAGCAUGAAGUACAUCCUCAGAAUCCUGGCCACAACCCCACAUACUGGAUCAUAACCUAUUCCCAUCCGAGCUAAUUCAAACUUGGUAAGCAGAUGUUGGUUAAAAGCAAGCCAAAGAAAGAGUUGAACCCCUUAGGGUCUUUAGAGCUUCCACGAAAUGCACCACAUUAGCUCUUUCAGAUUCCGCGACCCUUCUCGAAGCUUCUCAUAAGCAUUUUUAAGGGAAAAGCAACCUGAUCAGGUACCUCCCCAAAUGAUUUUAUCAACCCCUACAGUCGUAUGCGGCGGAGGAAUCCCAACAAUCUUUCGAAUCACCUCCUCAAUGAGCCAUAAUUGGAAAAUGUCAAGGUUCUAUUCGCCAUUCUCAUUUACCUUGUCCCUUAGAUGACAUUCCAUAUCCAGUGAGGAACGACUAGGAACGGUCUUAGCCAACAACCCCACUCUUGAAACCCAUGGAUUGCGCCAACAUCUAAUACUUGUGCUAUUUCCUACUGACUAAAUCAAAUUUCUGAAAUAAAUGGCCAAGCUUUAGUGAGAGCUAUCCAUUAAAAAAGAGCAUCUACUCCACGAUAAAGAUUUUAGUAAACCACUAGAUAUUCCAUAUUUGUUCCUUAGAACCUUGACCAAAGGGGCCUUAGAAUUGGCUACAAUAUUAUAGCCCAAUUUCAUCAUAAAGGUGUUAUCAUCUUGCAGUUUAAAAUUGGAUCCUUUGUGUAAUGCCCCUAACCCGAAUCCGUCACUGGAAUAGAGUUACAGAGCAUUACCGGAGUUACCAAUUCAUUUAUCAGAUAUUCCAUUAAUCCGAUAUCUUUUCUUUUCCACGUUCAAGUCUCGUAUUCAAGUCAUCCGGAUAUUUAUAAAGAAAUUUGAUCGUUGUUUUCAUUUAUUUCAUGUUAUAAUACAUUCAACUAAUGCUCUAAACAAAAUUAUCAUUUUACCCCUAAACUUUUAAUUAAUGACGAUUUCAUCCUUAGGUUAAAAUAAAAUAAAAUUAUUGCAACUUAAUCCUUAUUUCCAGGCGUUAUUCUCACACAAAUUGAUAACAACCUAUGAAUUCUAUAAAAUGUUAGAAUUUUCCAUAAUUUCAACACUUUUCAAUUUAAUCCUUAAAACAUGUUUUUCCCUGAUCUUGAGCUAAAUUAAUAAUUUCAUUCAAUUUUUUUAAUUUAAAUAAUAAAAUAAUCCAUUUCAUGCAAAUUGGUCAUUUCUAACAUUUUUUUUACAAAAUUGCCCAUAAAAUUAUACUUUUAUUCAAUUUAGUCCAUGAGCCUAAAACAUACAAAUUAGCCAUGCUAACUGAAUAUUCAUACAUAUUUUCCUCAUCCUCCUCUCCAUUCCACAUCCUUAAUUUAUAUAACAUGCAACAAGUAACAUUAUCAAUAAUUUCACUAUUUACUUAUGUAUAUUCAAAACUGUCCAUUUGCGUCAUAGUCACUAAAUUAUUUAUAUCUUAAGCUACAGAACUCGAAAUUAAGAUCCGUUAAAUUUCCCUGAAACUAGACUUACUUAUCUUAUUACCAUAAAAUUUUCAGAAUUUUUGGUUUAGCCAAUAAGUACAGUUUAUUCUUUAAACUUGCCCUUGUUCUGCUGUCUGACAGUUCCGACCCUUCUUCACUAAGAAUUAAUUAUCUCAUCGUACGAGAAUGUUCCCGCUUAUUUCUAUUGAAAAUAGACUCUUUAAGGAUUUUAAACAUAUAAAUUUAAUCCCUUAAUUAUUUUUCUCAAAUUUUUGAUGAUUUUCCAAAGUCAGAACAGGGGAACCCGAAAUCAUUCUGACCUUGUCUCACAAAAGUUAUUGUAUCUCAUGAUUUACAAUUCCAUUGCUUACAUAAUUUAUUUUAUAAGAAACUAGACUCAAUAAGCUUUAAUUUCAUAUUUUAUUCAUCCUCUAAUUCGGUUUAUACAAUUUUUGGUGAUUUUUUAAAGUUAAACUACUGCUGCUGCCCAAAACAGUUUUAGUGCAAAAUGUUGAUUUCCAUUUUACCCCAAAUUUUACAAUUCAUACAAUUCAGUCCUUGCUCAAUUAACCCCUCAAUUAAGAUAAUUUUCUCAAUUAAUACUUUUUCUAGACAUUAUAAGUUAUUUCAUAACUACUGAAAUUCAGAAUUUCCACAUAAAACUCUAACUUCAAACUUUUUUACAAUUUAGGUCCCAAACAUUCACUUUCUAUUAAAUUCUUUCAAUAAAAUCAGCAUAUAAACAAUUUAAAGCUCUAAUUCUAUGUCAAAUCAUCAUAUACUUCCAGCACAUAUUCAUAGAAACUUUCAAUUUCUUUCAUAGAAUCAAGAACUAAUGAAUUCAACAAAUGGACCUAAUUGUAAAAGUCACAAAAACACAAAAAUUUCAAGAAUUAGUCAAGAAUUGAACUUACUUGCAGUAAAAAUAUGAAAAAACAGCUUAAGGGAACUCUUCCAUGGUGUUUUUGCUGAUGAGAAUGCAGAAAAAUAAAGAGAAAUCUAGAUAAUUCCACUUUAGUCCUAGCUUUAUUAAGUAAAUUUUGCAAUUUUGCAAUUUUUCCCUUAUUUUCUUGGUGAUUUCAUGCUCUUGCCGUCCAGCCCAAAUAGACCUUGGGUCUAUUUUCCUUUUAAACCCUCUUUCUUUUAUCAUUUAAGCUAUUUAAUCAUUUCCCACAAUUUUGCAUUUGAUAUAAUUUAGUCCUUUUUGUUCAAUUAGCUAUCAGUACUUUAAAAUUUCUUGAUGAAACUUUAAUACUAACUUAUUAACACUCCAUAAAUAUUUAUAAAAAUAUUUAUGGCUCGAUUUAAAAUUCCCGAGGUCUCGAUACCUCAUUUUCAAUUCUAAUUAUUUUAAUAUAUAUAUAUUUGUACAUUUCACUAUUUCAAAAUUUUUCCUAACUUCACAUUUAACUUAUACUCACUAAAUUAAUAAUAUUUCCUACUCAUUUGUCGGAUUUAGUGAUCUCAAAUCACUGUUCCAACACAACUGAAAAUUAAGUUGUUACACUUUGCAUAUCUAUGACAGGUGAUUAAUCAAUUUCGGCCCGCCUACUAUUUUUAUGUUAAUGGCGUUAUGUGUUAACUACUAAACUUCAAUGUUAAUUGAACAUUGCUUUCCUUUUACCUAAUUUGGAUUAGUGUUCAUUAAAUAAAAAAUAUUUUUUCAAUUAAAUAUAAAAGAUACCUAAUUAUUAGUAAAUUAAGGUAAAUAGCACUAGUAGUCACUCAAUUAUUAUUAAAUUUCUUUUUUGAUUGUCUAACUAUGAAAAGUUACAAAAUGAUCAUCCAACUAUUAGUAAAUUUCUUUUUUGUUGAUCCAACUAUAAAAAGUUACAAGUUUGUUGCUCAACAGUUCAAUUUUGCCUUUUCUGAGCACAAAUUGGCUAAUGACAACAAUAUUUAAAAUUGACAUAAUAGCACAUUUAACCCUCAAAAUAUAUACAUUGCAUCAAUUUAGACUUGAUUCUAAAAAAUCAAUCCCACAAUAUUUACACAUUGUGUAGUUUGAUCUCUUAUAUAGUUUUUUUUUUUUGUGACCCUUCCACAUAAAAAAAUAAAUUUAUUAGCUAAAUUUAAUUAAAAAUAUAAAAAAAAUGGAAAUGCCCAAAAAUCUUAUGUAAUAAUUUUAAUCUUAUAUCAUUAUUUUAAACUUAACCCCUAAUAUCACAAAUAAAAGUAAAACUACAAAAAAUUUUAAUAAAAAAUUUAUUUUUUAAAAUUAAAACUGAAUUAACAUAAUAAAUAAAUAUUAAGAAUUAAAUUUAUUAUUAUGCUAAUUUUCAAAGCGAUUAUCCUAUAAAUUAUUUUUAAAAUUUUGGGUCCAACUUGGACCAAGCUUUAAGAAAGCAGACGAAUUUUUGUAGCCUUAGCCUAGCCCCCUACUCCAAUAUUUCCCCCACUAAUAAAUAAACUAUUAAUAUUCCUCCACUAAUGCAUAAUAUAUUCCCCCACUAAUACAAAAACUAUUCCUCCACUAAUACUUGCCGAUCAGUUUGAAAUCUUAGGUAAAAAAUAAUGGUUGAAAUUAAUUAAACAUUUUUUUAUCUGUAACAAAAAAUAAUGGAUAAAUAAAAAAAUAAAUUUAAGAUUGUUUAGUAUAAAUAAUUAAAUUUUUUUAAAAAAAAUCAUGACAUUUUAUUAUCUUAUCAUCAAAAAAAUAAUAUUCUACCUUUCUUCUCUUCGAUGUUAUUAUUGUUUGAAUAUGAUUCGAUAUUUCCUUUUCAAAGAAUCAUUACUUUAAUGAUCCAUUCUUUUUGAUAUAAUUUUAAGUUAUUAUUACUAACAAUCUCCAAUUUUUUACAAAUAUAUUUUCUUUAAUGCUACUUGAUUAAAUAUACCUAAUUACGGAAUAUUUUUUUGUAAAGCUAAAGUUAAAUUUUAAUUGGUAUAUAAUUCUAAUACUAAUUAAGUGAUAAUUAGAAUUAUUAGAAUUCUAUUCAACUAAUAAAUUUAUUUUAUAUAAAUAAAAUUAGCACAUUUUUAAAUAAAAUAAAGUCAUUUUUUAUAAUAAUGUCAAAUUUAAAUUAUAAUUUUAUUAUCUAAUUAAGCGAUAAUUACAUUAGAAAAGCUACCUUGUUUGAGUAUUCUUAGCUUACAGGAUGAAGCGGACUAAAAUGACUUGUUUUGCCAAUGAAUUUCCUCAAUUUGAUUUUCUUCAUAUAUGCAAUCUAAAAGAGGUAGAGGAGUGAAAGAUAGAAGAAGGUGCAAUGCCACGUUUCUAAGUUUAUAUUUGAGUUUCAUUUCGAGAUGAUUCAAGAAAGGUUGAGAUACAUUACUACUCUUUAAAAAUUGAAAUUAAAAUUAAUGAGAAAAUCACUGGUAGAAAGAAUUCAAGAGAAGGAGAGGAUUUCUAUAAAAUAUGUCGCAUUCCUUCAUUAAAAUAUGGUAAUUUGUUUAUAUCUAAAUAAGUGUAUUAGGUUUAAAUAACACGGUAAAAAUAAUAAUAAAUAAUUGAAGUAAAUUACACCCAAAUUCACUAAACUAUGAGUAAGUUAACGUUUUGGUCAAUUAACUUCAAAAAGUUACAAAAUUGUCACUAAACUAUUCGAAAGUUUUAUUUAAGUCAUCGGGCUAUAUGGUCUUCAUUGUUUGCAUCCCCUGCACUAAUAAAAAACUCUUCUGCCUCUGCUUUUCUAUAGUUUAGGUUUUUUUUUUCAUGAAAUAAAUUUAAACGUCAUGUAUCUACGAACCAAAAUUCAAAUAGCUUUCUUCUCUGUUCUUUGACACAGACCAUUAGAUUGUCUUGAUCUAAUAUAUGUUUUUCUAUUCAUCUAUAAGUAUUGAUCCAUCAUACCAUUCAUCGAAUUGUUGCUUGAACCUCAGACUUUAACAAAAAGAAUUUAAUAGUCCAAUGACUUAAAUAAAAACUUUUGAAUAGUUCCAUGAUUCAAAUAAAGACCAUUGAAUAGUUCAAUGACUAUUUUGUAAUUUUUUAAAGUAAAAUGACAAAAAUAUAAAUUUAUUAAUAGUUUAGUAAUCUUGAAUGCAAUUUACCCAAAUAAUUAUUAUUAUUUUCUUUUGAUCUUAUCCUGUGAAUUAUGAGCAAUGACUGUUGGGUGUUCAAGUAGUUGUCAUUAGGAAGAAAUGAAAUUGAGGGUUGGCCUACUAAUGUCACUCAUCAUAACUUUUCUUCACAUGCCAUUUUACUUUAUUGAUUUUGAAUCCCAAAGUUUUCUUUAUUUGAUUUUGGAAAACCAUAAAAUAAAAGAAUACAUGAAUGCAGUUAUUUAAUGUCACUUUCCUACAAAUUUAUUGCAUGCCGUCCAAUUUGGAAAAUCUCUUGUGCUUUUGGAAUUUUGUCACCCAUCACUUUUUGUGUCCACCAAACGUUUUUUAAAAAUAAAAAUUUAUGACUUUAUUAUUUAUUUUAUAACAAUAAAUUGUUUUUAUAAAAAAAUUUAAACUUAAUUAUAAGUUGGAUUUAUUAAACUUUCUAUUUUGAAUUUCUUGUUAUUAUUCUGAAUUUCACAAAUAACCCCCCCCAAAAAAAAAAAACUUUCCCCUUAGUUAAACUGCAGGUAGCUUCCUACAAAUUUCCUAUUUCCGUUCACUUUGAACAUAUGCUAUUUUAUUUUAAAAAUUUAAGUCCCAACGAAAAAUAAUCAGCAACCUCACCCCCAAAAACAGCUCUUCAAAACUUCUGACAAAGAGAAAUACUUCCUCCACUAAUACAUCAAAUAUUCUACAAUUAUUUGCCGACCAGCAGGAGAAAUGGCAGGGGCUAUUGUGUCCUUAGUUGUUGAAAGAAUUUCUGAUCUACUCAUCCAUGAAGCACUUUUCCUCAAAGAUGUGAAAGAUCAAGUUGAGAGCCUAAAGUAUGAACUGAAGCGAAUGCAGUGUUUCUUGGAAAACGUUGACCGGAAGCCAGAACAAGACGAGCGUCUCCAUAAUCUGGUAUCGCAAAUCCGUGAUCUUUCUUGCGAUGCUGAAGAUGCCAUCGACUCUUUUAUUCUAGAAGCAGCACAUCAACGAGAUUCUCAUGGGAUUGUCAAGAGAUUCACCUCCAUUUUCACUAAACUUGAUCAUCUGCACAAAAUCAGGGUGCAGGUCAAAGCAAUCCAGACCAAGCUCCAAGACAUUUCCAAGAAUCUUCCAGCUUAUGAGAUACCCGGUGAUGGAGAAGACUCUAGCUCAAUUUUGAAGUUGCAGCAACGGUUAAGAAGGACAUACUCGCAUGUCGAGGAAGAGGACGUUGUUAGCUUGGAGGUUAGCACCAAGGAAGUCAUGACCAAGUUGAUGACUGAAGAAGAUAGAGCCCACGCCGUCGUUUCCAUAGUCGGCAUGGGGGGCAUUGGUAAGACUACUCUUGCCAGAAAAGUAUAUAAUCAUGUUGAUGUGAGACGCCAUUUUGAUUUCUUGGCUUGGGUUUAUAUAUCUCAACAAUGUAAGCAGAUAGAAGUUUUGCUUAGUGUCUUAAUGAAAGUUCUCUCCCCUUCUAAAGAUGAAAAAGAGCUAAUUGAGAAACUGGACGAGAGUAAGCUGAUGAAAAGGCUUUUUGAUGCUUUGAAAGAAAAGCGGUAUUUGGUAGUCCUCGAUGAUAUUUGGAGAAGCGAGGAUUGGGAUAUUCUUAAACUUGCUUUUCCACGAGGAAGAAUGGGAAGCAAAAUACUAUUCACAACACGCAAUAGGAAUGUGGCUUUUGAUGCCGAUCCUUGCAACACUCCCAUUGAGCUCUCAGUUCUUACUGAUGAUGAAAGCUGGAAUCUUUUGUGUAGGAAAGCAUUCCCACGAAGCAAAAUGGGUUCUCAAUGCUGCUCAGAAGAAUUUGAGAAGCUUGGAAAAGAGAUGGUGAAAAAUUGUGGAGGUCUGCCUUUAGCUAUUGUUGUGUUGGGAGGCUUGCUAGCAAGAAAACAGUCAUUGGCUCAAUGGGAGAUGUUUUACGAAAACAUCCAUGGACACUUAAAAGGGCUCCCACACCAAGAUAAAAAUGGUGCAGUGAACAGAAUUUUGGUUUCAAGCUACAAUGAUUUGCCUUAUCCUUUAAAACCAUGCUUUCUGUAUCUUGGUCAUUAUCCAAAAGAUUGGGAGAUAUCAAAAAACGAACUCAUAAGAUUAUGGAUAGCUGAAGGUUUCAUUUCACCAUCACUGGAAAGCAAAGAAAUCUCGAUGGAGGAUGUAGGCGAACACUUCCUAGAACAGCUUAUAGAUAGGAGCUUGGUUCAGGUUAGCAGGCAAGGCUAUACAGGAACAGAUGUUAAGACAUGUCGAGUGAAUGAUCUCUUGAGGGACUUGUGCAUUAAGAAAGCAAAAGAGGAGAAGUUAUUGGAAAUUAUUCAACAAUCAUCGGCUCAAUUUGAUGUGACUUUGGUCGAACCUAUGCUACGAAUAAUUUCUAUUCAUCCUAGAGAAGGGAAAGUUCAUUUGAAGGGAGAGCAUCCAAAAUUACGUUCUUUAUUGUUGCCUCAAAAUGAGACAUUGGUAGAAUUUUGCAUUUCAAAUUGCAAAAGCUUCAAAUUUUUAAGGGUGUUGACUCUUUUAAAAAGGAACGUCGAAAAGUGGCAUGUGUCAAAUGAAAUCGGUGAUCUCCUACAUUUGAGAUACUUGAAGUUAGAAUGCUGGAACGAAAUGAUUUUGCCGCAAUCUAUUGGCAGAUUGAAGAGUUUAUACACUUUAUACAUCAAGUAUCAUACUGACAUUGUAAUUCCAGAUGUUGUGUUCAAGUUGGAACGUUUAAGGCAUAUUGUAAUAAAAAGGAUUGCGUUGUUCGGAAGAGGAUUUCGUUUGCGGCUAGGGUUCACUUCAAAAAAUAUUGAAACUUUGAAGUACAUAAUGGUGGAUGAGAAGUCGAUUGAAAAUAAUGUGGUGCUUAGGUGGACUAAUAUUCAGAGUUUAGGAAUAGUAUUUACAAGAGCAGAAUAUGUGAAGCCUAUCCUAAUCUUGCUAACCAAAUUGCAACGCCUUGGGUCAGUGUCUUUGGAGGUUUUAGACGAUUCAAACCUAUCAUAUCUAGACUUAGAACCUCUUUCUUGGUGCCACCACCUCUCCAAACUGAGAUUAGCUGGGGGGAUAAAAGAUGAUCCACAUUCGAGCUGUCAUAUUUUGAAAUUUCUUCCACCAAAUAUCGUCAAAUUAACUCUGUUUUGGUGUAGGAUGAGCCAGGAUCCAAUGGGUGUAUUGGAAAAGCUAUGUCAUUUGAGGAUUCUCUAUUUGGAAGGAGUAUAUAACGGGAGUAAAAUGAUGUGCUCUGCCAAUGGGUUUCGUCAGCUUGAUUCUCUUCAAAUGAUUGGUCUAGAAGAGUUGGAGGAGUGGGAAAUAGAAAAGGGUGCAAUGCCAUGCCUUCGAAGAUUGGAGUUGGCCGAUGUUGAUAGUUUAGGGAUGCUUCCAGAAGGAUUGAGGUUUAUUACUACUCUUCAAGAAAUGAUAUUAACAAAUAUAAGUUCGUCAUUGAAAGAAAGAAUUAAAGUGAUAGAUGGAAGAGAAGGAGAGGAUUUCUAUAAAGUGUGUCACAUUCUCUCUAUCCACAUUUUCUGAUCUCAAGUAAUUGGAGCCAACAUCACGCGAGGUUUUUUUCUUUUUUUUCUGUAAAAUAAUAUAUUUUUUAUUUUCCUUUCACUCAUAUAGUUGGAGAUUGAUAUAAAAUUAAUAAAAUAACCAAAAUUCAUAAAUUCCAUGUCAUAUUUUUAAUUGAUAUACAUAAAAGAUGAUGAUAUGUGUAUACCAUUUUUUUUCUUGACGUAGGUAAUCUAAUUAGCAUUGAAAUGCACUUCGUCGGGAUAUUCAACUCCAUCAAGUGUGUGUUUUUAAGAAUUGGAUUGGUGAAUGAAGUGAUUGUUUAUAUGAAUAAUUUGAUGAGAGUACAAAUUUUAGUUAUCCAAUGUUUUCCUUUUUUCUAAAUUCUAUAUAUCUCUAUGUUCUUUUUUCUUAUAUUUCGAAACUUUAGUUCUCUUGCUUAUGAUAUUAGUUUUGAGAUCAAUUCAAUAUUUUCUUCAAUUGUCUUUAUUAAAUAAUAUAUAAAAUAGAUUCGUACAUGCGUUGGCUUAUAUGGUCCAAUGAUUGAAUUUCUUAUCAAAUCACCAUUUUGACACGAGUUAAAACCUUAUAACGCCUAUCUCCACUCAAUAUUGUAUAAAAAUUAGAUUCAUACAUUAAUUAUUGUGGAACUUUUAAUCGUUUAAUAGAUGAUAUUUCAAGGAGGGAACGCACGUACAAACCUGUACAUUACAAGUGGAGUACUUCAUUUGGGACUAGUAGCCACCAAUCUCGACUAUGGAUCAUAGAACGAACAUGGAGAACACAAAAAAAAAAUGGUAUGAGAAUUACUCAUUUUAUAUUUUUUAAUUAUUAUUAACAUAGAUAAGGUUACAUGUGGAGAUAUGUCUCGCAUUUUGACCAAAACAGUAUGUGAUGUUGAAACAAGAAGAAGCUCUUUGUCCUGAUGAGGAGCUGAAGUCAUGACAAGAAGAAAGUCCUCAUCCAAACGACGCAAUCCUCCUUGUCCCGACAACCAAACGCCACAUCACAAUGUGGCAACAUGUCACUUAAGUUUUCCGGCUUUCUUUUCUCAGUUAAAUUCUGUUUUAGUUUCCCACUUAAAUUCUGAUUAACCUAAUGAUAUUCUAGUCAUAUAUGCUAUGAAUUUCAGCCUAUAAAUAGUCUUAGUUACUCUAGGUUUUAGACAAUAGAAAUAUUAAGAUCGAGAUAAUUCUAUUCUUUGAGUUUAAAAAGGACUCAGUUUUUCUUCUUUCUUUUUUUCAAUGGGGUUCUCGGUUGAUAAGCUACAAUAUUGCUGCCUUCUAUUGACUUGUUGCAUUAGAUCAUAUAGGGAGUAUUUCUAUGUUCUGUAAAUCCUCUUAUUCCCUUUUGGAUAUCUGGGUAUCAUUUUAAUAUGAUUCCUGAAAAUUCAAGCACUUUCUUAAUGAUUUUUUGGGUUAGAAAUAGAACUGCGGAAAAGUUUAAUGUUUUCUCCCUUUCUUAUCAAAGUGUUUUGAUUUUUUUGGUCUUUCACAAUUCAAAAUGUUGUUGAAUUUCUUUGUAGCAUAUGUAGAAUUUUUUGGUGUUUCAAUCUAGAAUUUCUUAACCUAUAUUGUUGUCUGCCCUCCUCUUUCUCAUAUGUCUAAUAUAUUUGAGAAAAAUGGUUUUUACUAUUUUCUAUUGAAGAGUAUUUGUUUCGAAUUAUGCAGUGGAUAGAUAUGCAAACAAAGAAUAUUGGCAUCUUGAUAUCACGUUUUAACCUUCUUGUUCUUUGAGUUGAUCAAAGAUUUGUCUAAUGUAUUAAAUUUUUUUCAGGAAAUUGUAGUUUGCAUUGAUUUUUGCUGGAGAUGGUUUCCAUAUCUGAUUCUGGUUUGGUUAUGGCUACCAAAUUUGGUGCCCAUACUAUUGAUCAUAAGUUUGAUCUGAUGUAUGCAAAGCGUGCAUUUGUGCAUUGGUAUAUCGGUGAGGGUAUGGAGGAAGGUGAGUUUUCUGAAGCUAGAGAAGACUUGGCUGCUCUUGAGAAAGAUUAUGAAGAAGUGGGCUUGGAAUCUGGUGAAGGAGAUGAAGAUGAAGGGGAUGAGUACUAGGCUAGAAUAUAGAGUAAAAUCUGCCAAUGGACUUAUUGGUCAGCUAAUAAAAAUGGGUUAUUUUGUUUGUCUUCUCUAUUGUAUCAAACUUCAAAACAUGUUUUAAUGGAUCUUUGCUUAAUUUCAUAUGCUCUAACUUGCAGUAAUUUCAUAAGCUUCAAAAAGUAUGCGUGCUUCAAAAAUGGGUUCUUUUGUUUGUAUUCUCUAUUGUAGUAUCAAACUUUUUAAUGGAUCUUUGCUUAAUUGUUUUAUUAAAUUAUAUAAGAAUAUUAAUUAUUAAUAAUUUUUAUUAAAUUAUAUAUUUUAAUUAUAAUAUAUUUAAUAAUAAUUAUGUUAAUUUAUAUUUUAUAGUAUCAUAUAUUAUGAUUUGAGUAAAUUCAUAUAAAAAUAUUAAUUAUUAAGAAUUUUAUUAAAUUAUAUAUUUUAAUUAUAAUAUAUUUAAUAAUAAUUAUGUUUAAAUAUGAUUAAAUUAUUUAUUAUUGAUAUUAAUAAUCUUAUUAAAAUUUAAAUAACAAUAACAAUAAUCAUUUACCAAAACAAAUUUAUGCUAAGGGUAUUCUAGUCAUUUUAGUUUUUUCCAUUAUGCUAUUACACCUCUAUUCCAUUUAACCAAACACAAGAUUACUAUUACACCUCUAUUCCAUUACAUUCAACCAAACAGUUGAUUUGCUAUUACACCUCUAAUCCAGUACACCUCUAAUCCAAUACAGCGAACCAAACGUGCCCUAAUUGUAGUUCAAAUGUAUACUUGAAACUUUAAUUUUAUUUUAAUUAUAUACAUCUAAAAAAAUAAAUUUAUUAAUUUAUUUUUUAUUAGAUAAAUAUAAUUAUCUAUGUAUGCAAUUUAUAAAUAAAAAAUGAUAUUAUAUCAGUAAUUAUUUUAAUACUUAACAAGAAUUAGAUCAAAUUAAAAUUUUACAUAUAAUUACACAUUAACACAUAGUUCAUGUAUAGUUUUAAUAUUUAUCAAUAUCUAUUAACUAUCUAUUAGUUAUUCAUAAUUUUAUUAAUUAUUCAUAAUUACUAUGAAUUAUAGACUCGAAUUUAGAAAAACUAAAAUUAUUUCUAAUUUUAAUGCUAUACUUAAUAAGGUUGAAACCAUUAGAUCUAGAUUUGGAACCUUUUUUCAGCGUCACGGUUUUUUUAAACUAAAAGUUUUCGGGGAAUAUAAAAGAAGAUUAACAUUUGAGCCUAAGAAAGGAAAUACAGAUAAAUUAAAGUAUUCGAAUGGUUAACGAAAUACAAAUUUUAAAAAAUGGGAAUUUUAUUUUUAAUUUAAUUUAUAGUUAUUUCUAAUAAUUAUAAUAUCAUAGGUUUGUAAGAUAUUUGAAGGGGUAUGAGGGUUGCUUCAGUUUCAGAAAUAGUAAAGCUUUGGGAAUUCAUUUGGGGGUAUUUCAUUGCUAAGCAAGGAAUCAAGGAGUAGGGAAAGCUAGAAAAAGAAUCCCCAUUUUCUUAAGCAAAGAAUUUAAUUAAAAGAGGAAAGAAGAAUCUGCUUUUGCUUUCUUCUUGUUCAAUUUUAAUUAUCAUUUACUUUUGAUAGAACAAUAACAAAAAAAAGGAAUCAGAAAAUACACACAGGCUGAUUAUCAAUCUGUUUUACAUCCAAAAAAAAAAAAAACAAGAAAUUCAGACUUUUUUUUUAAUCAGCUAGAGAAAUGGCAGAGGCUAUUGUGUCCUUAGCUGUUGAAAGAAUUUCAGAAUUACUCAUCCGUGAAGCAGUUUUCCUCAAAGAUGUCAAGGAAGAAGUUGAGAGCCUAAACACUGAACUAAAACGAAUGCAGUGUUUCUUGGAGGACGUUGAUGGGAAGGCGGAACAAGACACGCGUCUCCGUAAUCGGGUAUCCGAAAUCAGAGAUCUUGCUUACGAUGCUGAAGAUGUUAUCGACUCCUUCAUCCUUGAACGUGCACAUCAAGGAGGCUUUCAAGGAAUGGUCAAGAGAUUCACCUCCAUUUGCACCAAACCUUGGCAUUUGCACAAAAUCGGGGUGCAGGUCAAAGCAAUCCAGACCAAGCUCCAAAACAUUUCCAAGAAUCUUCCAGCUUAUGAGAUAUCCCGUGCUGGAGAAGGUUCUAGCUCAGUUUUCAACGUGCAGCGACAGUUAAGAAGGACAUACUCACAUGUCGAGGAAGAGGACGUUGUUAGCUUGGAGGUUAGCACGAAAGAUGUCAUUACCAAGUUGAUGACUGAAGAAGAUAGACCCCACGCCGUGGUUUCCAUAGUCGGCAUGGGGGGCCUCGGUAAGACUACUCUUGCCAGAAAAGUAUAUAAUCAUGUUGAUGUGAGACGCCAUUUUGAUUUCUUGGCUUGGUUUUCUAUCUCUCAACAAUGUAAGCCGAGAGAAGUUUUGCUUAGUGUCUUGAAGAAAGUUCUCUCUCCUUCUAACGAUGAAAGAGAGAAAAUUGAGAAAAUGGACGAGAUUGAGCUGAGGAGAACGCUUUUUGAUGCUUUGAAAGAAAAGCGGUUUUUGGUGGUCCUCGAUGAUAUUUGGAGAAGCGAGGAUUGGGAUAUUCUUAAACCUGCUUUUCCACGAGGAAGAAAGGGAAGCAAAAUAUUGUUCACAACACGAAACAGGAAUGUGGCUUCACGUGCCGAUCCUUGGAGCACUCCUGUGGAGCUCUCACUUCUUACAGAUGAUGAAAGUUGGAAUCUUUUGUGUAAGAAAGCAUUCCCACGGAGCAAAAUGGGUUCUCAAUGCUGCUCAGAAGAAUUUGUGAAGCUUGGAAAAGAGAUGGCGAAAAAAUGUGGAGGCUUGCCUUUAGCAAUUGUUGUGUUGGGUUGCUUGCUGGCAACAAAACAGUCAGUGGCUCAAUGGGAGAUGGUUCAUAAAAACAUCCAUGGACACUUAAAUGAGCUCCCACGCCAAGAUCGUCAAUAUGGUGCAGUGAACCGAAUUUUGGUUUCAAGCUACAAUGACUUGCCUUAUCCUUUAAAACCAUGCUUUUUGUAUCUUAGUCAUUAUCCAGAAGAUUGGGAGAUACCGAUAAAAGAACUCAUUCGUUUAUGGAUCGCUGAAGGUUUCAUUCCGGAAAACAAAGAAUUCGUGAUGGAGAAUUUAGGCGAAAAAUUCCUAGAAGAGCUUAUAGAUAGGAGCUUGGUUCAAGUUAGCAGGCGAGACUAUACAGGAACAAAUGUGGAGACAUGUCGAAUGCAUGAUCUCUUGAGGGACUUGUGCAUGAAGAAAGCAAGAGAGGAGAAGUUCUUGGAAAUUAUUCAACAACCACUGAAUGAACUUGAAGUGACAUUGGCAGAAUCUAUGCUACGAAGAAUUUCUAUUCAUCGUAGUGAAAUAUCGAAAGUUUAUUUGAAGGGAGAGCAUCCA